UACGUAGGUGGCGAGCGUUGUCCGGAUUUAUUGGGUUUAAAGGGUGCGUAGGCGGCCCUAUAAGUCAGUGGUGAAAUAUCGCAGCUUAACUGUGAGGGUGCCAUUGAUACUGUAGGGCUUGAGUGAAUUUGAGGUAGGCGGAAUUGACGGUGUAGCGGUGAAAUGCGCAGAUAUCAGGAGGAACACCCGUGGCUAAGGCGGCUCUCUAGUACGGUACUGACGCUGAGACGCGAAAGCGUGGGGAGCGAACAGG
This 253-nucleotide ribosomal RNA is filed under the name uncultured bacterium. RNAcentral describes it as "partial 16S ribosomal RNA". It matches the Rfam family "Bacterial small subunit ribosomal RNA", at positions 524 to 776 of the family's 1533-position model. The record is from RNAcentral.